RNAcentral lists this ribosomal RNA (330 nucleotides) under uncultured bacterium. RNAcentral's name for it is "bacterial SSU rRNA". It matches the Rfam family "Bacterial small subunit ribosomal RNA", at positions 8 to 334 of the family's 1533-position model. The record is from RNAcentral.
AGGGUUUGAUUAUGGCUCAGGAUGAACGCUGGCGGCGUGCAUAACACAUUCAAGUCGAACGGGACAAUGGGGGCUUGCCUCCAUUGUCUAGUGGCGGACGGGUGAGUAACGCGUGAGCAACCUGCCUAUGCGAGGGGGAUAACACAGGGAAACUUGUGCUAAUACCGCAUAACAUAUACUUUUUGCAUGGAAGGUAUAUCAAAGAAAAAAUCGCGCAUAGAUGGGCUCGCGUCUGAUUAGAUAGUUGGUGAGGUAAGGGCUCACCAAGUCGACGAUCAGUAGCCGGACUGAGAGGUUGACCGGCCACAUUGGAACUGAGAAACGGUCCAG